AGUGAACGCUGGCGGCGUGCCUAAUACAUGCAAGUCGAACGAUGAAGCUCUAGCUUGCUAGAGUGGAUUAGUGGCGCACGGGUGAGUAAUGCAUAGAUAACAUGCCCUUUAGUCUAGGAUAGCCAUUGGAAACGAUGAUUAAUACUGGAUACUCCUUACGAGGGAAAGUUUUUCGCUAAAGGAUUGGUCUAUGUCCUAUCAGCUUGUUGGUGAGGUAAUGGCUCACCAAGGCUAUGACGGGUAUCCGGCCUGAGAGGGUGAACGGACACACUGGAACUGAGACACGGUCCAGACUCCUACGGGAGGCAGCAGUAGGGAAUAUUGCUCAAUGGGGGAAACCCUGAAGCAGCAACGCCGCGUGGAGGAUGAAGGUUUUCGGAUUGUAAACUCCUUUUGUUAGAGAAGAUAAUGACGGUAUCUAACGAAUAAGCACCGGCUAACUCCGUGCCAGCAGCCGCGGUAAUACGGAGGGUGCAAGCGUUACUCGGAAUCACUGGGCGUAAAGAGCGCGUAGGCGGGAUAGCAAGUCAGAUGUGAAAUCCUAUGGCUUAACCAUAGAACUGCAUUUGAAACUGUUAUUCUAGAGUAUGGGAGAGGUAGGUGGAAUUCUUGGUGUAGGGGUAAAAUCCGUAGAGAUCAAGAGGAAUACUCAUUGCGAAGGCGACCUGCUAGAACAUAACUGACGCUGAUGCGCGAAAGCGUGGGGAGCAAACAGGAUUAGAUACCCUGGUAGUCCACGCCCUAAACGAUGAAUGCUAGUUGUUGUGGAGCUUGUCUCUGCAGUAAUGCAGCUAACGCAUUAAGCAUUCCGCCUGGGGAGUACGGUCGCAAGAUUAAAACUCAAAGGAAUAGACGGGGACCCGCACAAGCGGUGGAGCAUGUGGUUUAAUUCGAAGAUACACGAAGAACCUUACCUAGGCUUGACAUUGAUAGAAUCCGCUAGAGAUAGUGGAGUGCUAGCUUGCUAGAACUUGAAAACAGGUGCUGCACGGCUGUCGUCAGCUCGUGUCGUGAGAUGUUGGGUUAAGUCCCGCAACGAGCGCAACCCUCGUCCUUAGUUGCUAACUAUUCGGUAGAGCACUCUAAGGAGACUGCCUUCGCAAGGAGGAGGAAGGUGAGGAUGACGUCAAGUCAUCAUGGCCCUUACGCCUAGGGCUACACACGUGCUACAAUGGGAAGCACAAGGAGAUGCAAUAUUGUGAAAUGGAGCAAAUCUAUAAAACUUCUCUCAGUUCGGAUUGUAGUCUGCAACUCGACUACAUGAAGCUGGAAUCGAUAGUAAUCGUAAAUCAGCUAUGUUACGGUGA
This 1307-nucleotide ribosomal RNA is filed under the name uncultured bacterium. RNAcentral describes it as "partial 16S ribosomal RNA". It matches the Rfam family "Bacterial small subunit ribosomal RNA", at positions 28 to 1365 of the family's 1533-position model. The record is from RNAcentral.